GACGAAGGUGGCGAGCGUUGUUCGGAAUCACUGGGCAUAAAGCGCACGUAGGCGGUGCCGUAAGUCAGAUGUGAAAUCCCUCGGCCUAACCGAGGAACUGCGUCUGAUACUGCGGUGCUUGAGGAUCAGAGGGGUGCAUGGAAUUUCCGGUGGAGCGGUGAAAUGCGUUGAUAUCGGAAGGAACUCCGGCGGCGAAAGCGAUGCACUGGCUGAUUUCUGACGCUGAGGUGCGAAAGCCAGGGGAG
This 245-nucleotide ribosomal RNA is filed under the name uncultured Zavarzinella sp. RNAcentral's name for it is "partial 16S ribosomal RNA". It matches the Rfam family "Bacterial small subunit ribosomal RNA", at positions 524 to 768 of the family's 1533-position model. Lineage: Bacteria; Pseudomonadati; Planctomycetota; Planctomycetia; Gemmatales; Gemmataceae. The record is from RNAcentral.